GAUGAACGCUGGCGGCGUGCUUAACACAUGCAAGUCGAACGGUGAACACGGAGCUUUGUCUGUGGGAUCAUUGGCGAACGGGUGAGUAACACGUGAGCAAACUGCACCUGUAUCAGUGAUAAGAGCUGGAAACGGCGUCGAAUACUGGGGAUGUGACGUUGCCGCGUGGGCUUCGUUUGGAAAGAUUGUUCUGGUGGGGAUGUGUACGUGGCCUAUCAGCGUAUUAGUGAGGUGAUGGCGCAACAGGUCGUCGACGGGUCGCCGGCCUGGGAGGGUGAACGGCCACACUGGGACUAAGACACGGCCCAGACUCCUACGGGCGGCAGCAGUGGGGAAUAUUGCACAAUGGGCGCAAGCCUGAUGCAGCAACGCCGCGUGCGGGAUGACGUCCUUCGGGUUGUAAACCUAUUUUAGCAGGGAAGAAGCGAAAGUGACGGUACCUGCAGAAAAAGCGCCGGCUAACUACGUG
This 469-nucleotide ribosomal RNA is filed under the name uncultured bacterium. RNAcentral describes it as "partial 16S ribosomal RNA". It matches the Rfam family "Bacterial small subunit ribosomal RNA", at positions 28 to 507 of the family's 1533-position model. The record is from RNAcentral.